AAGUCGUAACAAGGUAACCGUAGGUGAACCUGCGGUUGGAUCAUUAUUGAAUUCUUUUAUCUCUUUGGAGAUGAAAAGCUUUUUAGGGCUCUUUUGAACUUUGAAAGUCUUUAAAAGGACUGGAUAAGGGAUAAAAGUCCAUCUACCUUGUGUGAACUGUUUAUGACUUGAGUCUUUGGUUAGACCUCUAGUCUUUAUUGACUAGAACUAGCCUUUGAUUCUCUAUUUAAACGUUUUUGUUUUUAUUUUACGUUUUUCAUUUCAAUUCAAUUGAAAAAAAAACAACUUUUGACAACGGAUCUCUUGGCUCUC
Molecule: unclassified non-coding RNA, 312 nt
Filed under: fungal sp.
Lineage: Eukaryota; Fungi
Also listed under: 1 other name
Description: partial internal transcribed spacer region
Rfam family: Eukaryotic small subunit ribosomal RNA (bases 1-46)
Source: RNAcentral